GACGAACGCUGGCGGCGUGGAUUAGGCAUGCAAGUCGAACGGUAGGAUACCUUCGGGUAUCUGAGAGUGGCGAACGGGUGAGUAACACGUAGGUGAUCUACCCUCAAGAUUGGGACAACCCAGGGAAACUUGGGCUAAUACCGGAUGAAAGCAGCAGUGAUGUUGUUUGAAAGGUGGCGUAAGCUGCCGUUUGGGGAUGAGCCUGCGCUCUAUUAGUUAGUUGGCGGGGUAAAGGCCCACCAAGGCGAUGAUAGAUAGGCGGCCUUAACGGGUGGUCGCCCACACUGGGAUUGAGAUACGGCCCAGACUCCUACGGGAGGCAGCAGUCGAGAAUAGUCUACAAUGGCCGAAAGGCUGAUAGUGCGACGCCGCGUGAACGAAGAAGCCCUUCGGGUGUAAAGUUCUUUAUUAUGUGAGCAGUGCUUUCUAUGUGAACAGCAUGGGGAGAGAGAUAUUAGCAUAUGAAUAAGCAACGGCUAACUCCGUGCC
Molecule: ribosomal RNA, 489 nt
Filed under: uncultured bacterium
Lineage: Bacteria
Description: bacterial SSU rRNA
Rfam family: Bacterial small subunit ribosomal RNA
Source: RNAcentral